GAUGAACGCUGGCGGCGUGCCUAAUACAUGCAAGCCGAGCGAAUGGAUUAAGAGCUUGCUCUUAUGAAGUUAGCGGCGGACGGGUGAGUAACACGUGAGUAACCUGCCCAUAAGACUGGGAUAACUCCGGGAAACCGGGGCUAAUACCGGAUAACAUUUUGAACCGCAUGGUUCGAAAUUGAAAGGCGGCUUCGGCUGUCACUUAUGGAUGGACCCGCGUCGCAUUAGCUAGUUGGUGAGGUAACGGAUCACCAAGGCAACGAUGCGUAGCCGACCUGAGAGGGUGAUCGGCCACACUGGGACUGAGACACGGCCCAGACUCCUACGGGAGGCAGCAGUAGGGAAUCUUCCGCAAUGGACGAAAGUCUGACGGAGCAACGCCGCGUGAGUGAUGAAGGCUUUCGGGUCGUAAAACUCUGUUGUUAGGGAAGAACAAGUGCUAGUUGAAUAAGCUGACACCUUGACGGUACCUAACCAGAAAGCCACGGCUAACUACGUGCCAGCCGCCGCUGUAA
This 515-nucleotide ribosomal RNA is filed under the name uncultured bacterium. RNAcentral describes it as "partial 16S ribosomal RNA". It matches the Rfam family "Bacterial small subunit ribosomal RNA", at positions 28 to 523 of the family's 1533-position model. The record is from RNAcentral.